This 30-nucleotide non-coding RNA is filed under the name Mus musculus (house mouse). The record is from RNAcentral. Lineage: Eukaryota; Metazoa; Chordata; Mammalia; Rodentia; Muridae.
UAAGGAAAAGAAGGUGACAGAUAAAUUAGG